This 501-nucleotide ribosomal RNA is filed under the name uncultured bacterium. RNAcentral's name for it is "partial 16S ribosomal RNA". It matches the Rfam family "Bacterial small subunit ribosomal RNA", at positions 899 to 1397 of the family's 1533-position model. The record is from RNAcentral.
ACUCAAAGGAAUAGACGGGGGCUCACACAAGCGGUGGAGUAUGUGGUUCAAUUCGAAGCAACGCGAAGAACCUUACCAAGCCUAGACAUCAGGAUGUAACUCCCUGAAAGGGGAGCCAACUCGCAAGAGAAAUCCUGUGCAGGUGUUGCAUGGCUGUCGUCAGCUCGUGUCGUGAGAUGUCGGGUUAAGUCCCAUAACGAGCGAAACCCCUGCCGUUAGUUGCUAACAGGUGAUGCUGAGCACUCUAGCGGGACUGCCUCGUAAGACGGAGGAAGGUGGGGACGACGUCAAGUCAUCAUGGCCUUUAUGGCUUGGGCUACACACGUACUACAAUGGUCGGUACAAAGGGAUCCGAUGCCGCGAGGCGGGGGAAAUCUCAGAAAGCCGACCUCAGUUCGGAUUGAAGGCUGCAACUCGCCUUCAUGAAGCUGGAAUCGCUAGUAAUCGCGGGUCAGCCAUACCGCGGUGAAUAUGUUCCUGAGCCUUGUACACACCGCCCGU